Molecule: ribosomal RNA, 563 nt
Filed under: uncultured bacterium
Lineage: Bacteria
Description: bacterial SSU rRNA
Rfam family: Bacterial small subunit ribosomal RNA
Source: RNAcentral
GUGAGGAAUAUUGGUCAAUGGGCGAGAGCCUGAACCCAGUCAAGUCGCGUGAAGGAAGAAGGAUCUAUGGUUCGUAAACUUCUUUUGCAGGGGAAUAAAGUGCAGGACGUGUCCUGUUUUGUAUGUACCCUGAGAAUAAGGAUCGGCUAACUCCGUGCCAGCAGCCGCGGUAAUACGGAGGAUCCGAGCGUUAUCCGGAUUUAUUGGGUUUAAAGGGUGCGUAGGUGGUUUAAUAAGUCAGCGGUGAAAGUUUGCAGCUUAACUGUAAAAAUGCCGUUGAAACUGUUAGACUUGAGUGUAAAUGAGGUAGGCGGAAUGCGUGGUGUAGCGGUGAAAUGCUUAGAUAUCACGCAGAACUCCGAUUGCGAAGGCAGCUUACCAAGCUACAACUGACACUGAAGCACGAAAGCGUGGGGAUCAAACAGGAUUAGAUACCCUGGUAGUCCACGCAGUAAACGAUGAUUACUAGCUGUUUGCGAUACACAGUAAGCGGCACAGCGAAAGCGUUAAGUAAUCCACCUGGGGAGUACGCCGGCAACGGUGAAACUCAAAGGAAUUGACGG